AUGUCUGGCCGUACAUUGUGUUUGUAUUUCCAGGCACAUUUCACGAAGCAGAACGCAGUCUUCAGAGAUAUCCACGUGAACGCUGUGAUACGUCUGACCUUCAGUCCGAAAAAGAAAACCCGGACCAGUCUUAAAAGAAAGCACAAACUAAAUCCCCUGUACACAUAUAUGGACUCAGAGGAUGAGCAGCCUACAAAAAAACGGUUUCCCCAGGACCCUCGAGUGAAAAUACCAGCCCUCAUCACUCCGCAGUCUGCCCCCCAGCCCACUGAUAGCAACCAUCAUAAUGCCCCACCCAGCUUCCGGCACCUUUCGCCACUCCGGCACAAACCGACACAGCUUUGCGAUCUCGCCAGCAUGCAGAGUCUGAUGUCUUCCCUAUAGAUGAUUCCAGAGACUCUGUGAGGCCACUAUUACAAGGCAAGUUUGAAAAUCUUGGAAUUUCACAGUUUACAUGGUAUAACAAAUAUAUGUGACAGGCAAAAACUAGUAAACACUUUUAGCAGUUACAAGAACUAACAAAUGAAUAUCCAACAAAAGGGAAUAGAAAUACAUUGUACUGCCAAUACUUUGGUUUAUUCUUUGUAUGACUUGAAAAUCAGGCUUUAGGGAAAACUAAAUGACAUGUUUCUAUCAUCAAUUACAUGAAGUAAACACACAAGCACUUGCAUACACAUUUAAGACAUGAGACACGCUAAUUCCAUCUCAUAAAAUGUGUCUAUAGGUGAGACGCUUUGCGUUGAUUGGUGCUGCUGGACCACACUGGAGGUGCGAGUCCGCCGUGUAAUGGUUUAUGCCAUUACAAAGGAGCUGGCCUCUGUACUCAACUGGGCAGGGAAAAAAAAACCAAGGACCAGACAAAGCAAAAAAGGGCAUUUAAAGAUACAGCGCUGUGCAGAUGCAUAUUUGGUAAGUUUUAACAUUUAUUGUACUUUUAUGAGCCUAAAGUGAACAAUAAAGGGAUCAAUUGAUGUGCUGGGUGCGUUUCACAUUUCCUAUGUCUGUUUUUUGCUAUAUUACUUUGUCUUUCUUAAUAACAAGACUUUCAUGUCCGGUUAAUCUGGAGAUGGAGUCUUUGGUCUUCAGCUUGUUUUGUCCUCGGGUUGUACACUUUGUACAGCCCGAGGACCCCAUGUUUUCUUUUUUUUUUUAAAGGAUACACGGCACACCAUGCUAAGACAUAUCACAUUUUCAGCUUAUAGCUCUUUGGGAAUCAAAUGCGGCAGUUUGCUGAUUUCCGCCUGGUGACUUUAAUGUUUAUCAGCCUAGGAGUUUACAUACUUUCUCCCUGCUGAAGACAAUUAACAAGAGCUUAUUCAUGUGCUCUAAUUCCCUUUUUUUGUCUUUGUUUUUUUGUGUGUGUGUCUAUUUUUGUCCUAGAUGGCCUGGCGCAGCAGGUAGGGGCGAACUCUAUGUCUGAGUUGGUCUUUGCUCAAGCAGUCCAGAAAUGGCUCAGAUAUGCUCCAGAUCGUACGGGUGGCGCGCAGGACGCACAUCAUCCAUCCCCAUCCCGGAGUAAAUAAUAAAAAGUGACAUGAAACAUAGAAAUGUAAAUAGGAAACUUUGUCUUUUAAUAAAGUAUUUUGCAAAUGAUACAUGUCUAUUGACCUUUUUUGUUUUUUUGUUUUUUUUUUCAAUAAAAAGCAACUGUACGAAAGAGGUGGAAAAUCAAUACCAUAGCUCAACAGUGUUUCAAUAUCAGAAUCUGACAUUGUUUCAAUGUCAACAGUGUUAGAAAAUAUAACGUAGAAUCAAUGUCAGGUUUCAACAUUGAUUCAACAUCAAAACCUGACGUUGUUUCAACGUUAAAAAUGGGUGCAAGAGUGAUGUUGGGUCAACGUCACACUUCAACGUUGCUUCAAUGACGUCGCCUGAUAUUGACUCAACAUUGUUUCAAUGUUUCCUUGCUAUCUGGGAAGGGUGCCUAUGCUGAACUAUGUCAGAUAAAAAGGGGAGAGAUGCUUGGUCAAAGUUCUCAAAGACAACUGGGCAGAAAAGAGAAACAGCAGGAGGGACAGGAUUAGAGGGAAAAGACCUGAGAGCCGAAAUCUUUUUUAAAAAUGUGAGAAACCUUGCAGAUGAGGGCACAAUACAAGCAGCACUACAUGGAUUUAUAAGAG
This 2120-nucleotide long non-coding RNA is filed under the name Oreochromis niloticus (Nile tilapia). RNAcentral describes it as "lncRNA (ENSONIG00000032364.1)". The record is from RNAcentral. Lineage: Eukaryota; Metazoa; Chordata; Actinopteri; Cichliformes; Cichlidae.